GGGACGUAGCUCAGUUGGGAGAGCACCUGCCUUGCAAGCAGGGGGUCGAGAGUUCGAAUCUCUUCGUCUCC
This 71-nucleotide transfer RNA is filed under the name Fusicatenibacter saccharivorans. It matches the Rfam family "tRNA". From Rfam's summary of the family: Transfer RNA (tRNA) molecules are approximately 80 nucleotides in length. Their secondary structure includes four short double-helical elements and three loops (D, anti-codon, and T loops). Further hydrogen bonds mediate the characteristic L-shaped molecular structure. tRNAs have two regions of fundamental functional importance: the anti-codon, which is responsible for specific mRNA codon recognition, and the 3' end, to which the tRNAs corresponding amino acid is attached (by aminoacyl-tRNA synthetases). tRNAs cope with the degeneracy of the genetic code in two manners: having more than one tRNA (with a specific anti-codon) for a particular amino acid; and 'wobble' base-pairing, i.e. permitting non-standard base-pairing at the 3rd anti-codon position. The record is from RNAcentral. Lineage: Bacteria; Bacillati; Bacillota; Clostridia; Lachnospirales; Lachnospiraceae.